AUGCAUAUCAAAUGUUGGCAUCUACUGCUGCUACUACUCUGCCCAUAUUCAUGCAGGUCACUACACCUGCAUAUGCAUGAAUCCCACUGCAGCACAAGACUUGUCAACAAGAAUAACCACAACAGCACGUUCAACCAUAGAAUUCAACAGCAACAGAAUUCAACAGCAUGUUCUGGCAACAGUAACAGCAUGUUCACCAUAGAAUUCAACAGCAACAGAAUUCGGUUAAUUCAGUUAAUUAACCACAUAAUUCAACAGCAACAGAAUAGCAUGUCUACCACACUACCUACCACAGCAACAGUUAAUUGCUAUCAGGUGACUACCAACAGCAACAACAUAGUAAUCAAACAGCAAUUCAACCACACUAGAUCCACCAACAGAGCAUACUAA
Molecule: ribosomal RNA, 390 nt
Filed under: Triticum aestivum (bread wheat)
Lineage: Eukaryota; Viridiplantae; Streptophyta; Magnoliopsida; Poales; Poaceae
Description: partial small subunit ribosomal RNA
Source: RNAcentral